GGGGGAUAUUGCACAAUGGAGGAAACUCUGAUGCAGCAACGCCGCGUGAGGGAAGACGGUCUUCGGAUUGUAAACCUUUGUCUUUGGUGACGAUAAUGACGGUAGCCAAGGAGGAAGCUCCGGCUAACUACGUGCCAGCAGCCGCGGUAAUACGUAGGGAGCGAGCGUUGUCCGGAUUUACUGGGUGUAAAGGGUGCGUAGGCGGCGCCGCAAGUCAGGUGUGAAAACUAUCGGCUUAACUGAUAGACUGCAUUUGAAACUGUGGUGCUUGAGUGGAGCAGAGGCAGGCGGAAUUCCCGGUGUAGCGGUGAAAUGCGUAGAGAUCGGGAGGAACACCAGUGGCGAAAGCGGCCUGCUGGGCUUUAACUGACGCUGAGGCACGAAAGCAUGGGUAGCAAAC
This 400-nucleotide ribosomal RNA is filed under the name uncultured bacterium. RNAcentral describes it as "bacterial SSU rRNA". It matches the Rfam family "Bacterial small subunit ribosomal RNA", at positions 356 to 773 of the family's 1533-position model. The record is from RNAcentral.